Long non-coding RNA from Gordionus sp. m RMFG-2023, 1723 nucleotides. RefSeq lists it as uncharacterized. The transcript is spliced from 4 exons. Lineage: Eukaryota; Metazoa; Nematomorpha; Gordioida; Chordodea; Parachordodidae. The record is from RefSeq and is a predicted model, not a curated record.
UUUUAAUUAUAAUAUUAAACAUUUGAUAAAAUAAUUAGUUUAAAAUUAAAUAGUUAAGAUAUGAAUCUUCUGAUUUUAUUAAUAUUUACCUUGAGCUGGACUAUUCACCAAUUUUAUGUUUGAUCCAAAUGCCGCAGCUUUUAAUAUGGUUAAAAAUCUUAUGAUCGGUGUGAUAAGUCACAAUGAAAGUAGGAAAUGCUCAUAUUACCUGAUUUAUAACUACCUAUAUUUCCUGCCAAAAACCGUCAUUCAGGUAGAAAUUUUGAAGGUGGGAGAAAAACUCUAUAUUAAGGAAUAUUACGAUGAAUUUUGUAUGUUGAAGAUAGGCAAUGGAAUACAAAAAAUUAAUAUCACAAACACAACCGAGAAUUCUCAACAUAUAAUUAACGUGACCACUUUCGAGAUACCACUAAACACAUUUUUUACUAUAUCUAGUUUCAUUAUAUUAUUAUUAUUAUUAUUUUGAAAUAUUAAUAUAAUUAUGUUUGUGCGAAGCCGAAGUUUAUGAGUUAAACUAGAUCUUAUGAAUAAUUGAAUGAUUUAUGUUAGAAAUAAUAAUUUUUGAUUAAGAAAUUUAAUAUUAUGUUUUAAAAAUAAUCAUUUUUUUAAAGGAAAUCAUUCAAUAUAAUUGUAAUUUUUAUUAAGUUUAUAUAUUUAUUAAUCACAAAGAGAGUGGUAGACUGUUAAAAUCUUACAUAGAUCAUAAUGAUGCUUGUGACCUGAUUGUAUCACUCGAUAUAUACAAAUAUGAUGUAUAUAUAUCGGGGUUUUUAUUCAAGUAAUAAUAAUUUAACAUCUGAUUAGAAAAUUAAUAACCAUGUAUUAUACAUAUUUAACUAUUAAUCCAGUAACGUACCCUUAGAAAUAACUGAAAAUGCGAUCUUGGAAAUUUUCAAAUCAAACCCCAUCACAGGAUAUUUAGAGGAUGUUGUGCAAACGAACAAUUUUUUUUUAUAAAAAUUACAGAGCAGCAAGAUAGAUGGUAUUAAGUGCAGUUACCAAAUUAAAAUGAGCCAUGCGAACGUAAUUGCAAAACCAUAUUUAAAUAAAUAUACUAUAUGGCUAACUUUCUAUAGCAGUAUACUUAUUUUUUUUAUUCAUUUUUACGUGCUGUUAAUCAAAUAUUCGAGUAAAAUUAGAUAAAUAAAAAAAACACUAUUUAACAAUUUUUUCAACUUUAAAAAAAAUAAUAAAAUAAAUAUAAUUAGUUGACAGUGAACGUAUCAAAACCCUCGAAACACGCGGGAAAUUAUCAAUUGAAUACCGUGAUAAUAUUUGAUAUAGAUAACCCAGAAAAGGAUAUCAAUUUAAAUGUCCAUACGAUUGAUGAGGGAAUAAUUAUCCAAACCUCAUUUGGAGUAACGUUUAACAGUACUAAACACUUGAUUAAUGGAUCGAUUAUUCCAGAAUCAAUUUUCUAUCGCAGGCAUGUGAUCGCUAUUAUCGAAAUUUGGAUUUCAGAAGAUAAUACGUAUCAAUUUACUUUGCCGAAAGAUUUUUACAUCCAUAUACAAAGACAAUUCAAGAAUUGUGAUCGGUGUGUAUAAAGCAGCAAACGUGAUAUUCAACAAUUUCCUUUUAAUCAAUUUUAAAAGAUUGGAAACUAAAUUUUAAUUAAUUUUUUUUAAAAAAUGGGGCAAUUUUUAUUUUUAUUAAUACAAUAAUCUUUUAUUUUAGUAUAUUAUAAUUAUUAUGUAUUCAAUAAAUUGUUUUGAGGUGCUCA